AAUCAUUUGCUGUCGCUGUUCCACGUGCUUCAUCAAACCUCCCACGCCCACGCCCUUCUUUCGCUCCACUUGCUUUCUGAUCGAUUUCGACCUCGGUUGUUUUUUCUUGCUUGCCCCCCACCUCCUCCACCCUUUUCAGCGCAUCUCAUGCCGCAUUUGCAAUCCGCCAAGGGGUCGGCCGCGAAGGUCUACUCCACCCCUUCCCUCUUCAAGGACUACAACAAGCUCACGAAGGACUUGCUCGCGAAGGACUUCCCCACUGCGAAUAAGUGGGUCCUGGAGUGCAAGUACAAGGGCCCCAAGGACACCUUCUUCAUCAACCCCAAGGCUAGCUCCGAUGGCAAAAUUUCGGCUGAAAUCGAGUACGUCGCGGCGUGUAACGGCGGCCUUAAGGUCACCGUGACCCCUGAAAUCAUGCGUGAGAUCAAGGCCACGGCCCACUACACGAUCCAGGGUCACAAGAUGGAGGUGGCUCUUCAGCGCCUCCAGGACAAGUACCACUACGAGAUCAGUCACGAGACGUGCGUGGCUCUCUCGAAGCGCGCGAGCAUCAACGAGAAGCUUACGCCGACUCACGUGGAGCUGGGUAUGGGCAUCGACGUGGCACCAAACUGCCAGGUCGGCUGCGGCGCCACAUACGACAUUGGUGCCAACGACUGCAACUGGAACAUCGGCUGCCGUUAUGCGGGGAGGGGCUGCGAGAUGGCGAUUCGCACGAACCGCCUGCAAACUUACCAUACAAGCGCCAGCGCUCCGUGCUCCUUCAUGUUUAACGGCAACAGGUGCACGGUGCGCGCCGCCGUCGAGGUGGUGUGCGGGCGCGGUCGUGGCGACAAGGGUGUCGCGGUCACCGCGGGGAUGGAGGCCACAUGUCCGGUGCACCCGGCCAACACAAUAAAAGCUCGCGUGGACCGGGACAUGAAGUGGGUGGUCGCCUACAUCGCGAAGAUGGCGGACAACUGGACUGCAUGCCUGUCGUUGGACGAGAAUAUGAGGGUUGGCGUGCAGAUGACGCACUCUUAGGCGCUAAAGGGCAUGCACGCAUGGCAUUAAAGAAAGUGGGCAAUAUCUACGCACAAGGAAGGGAGGGGAAGAGACAGGAUGAUGAGUGGCACAAGGAGAUGGAAAGAUGGAGGUGGACGGUCCGAGAAGACUCGAAUGGUGAAUGGCGGUGAUGCGGUUGUGGGCGACAAGGAGAACUGGGCUGAGCGAGAGACGCAGUACCGGGAGUCGAGGAGGAAUAAAGAAAAAAAUCGACAAGCAAAGCAGAGUGGCCGAGCAACGGGGCGGCAUGUGAAGGUGCUCGCCGUGACUCUGGCGCCCUCUGUCUCCGCCUCGCGCGCGCACGCUGCCGGUCGGCUUUUUCCUUUGCCUCUACCGUUUCUGGAGGAUGUCGGCAGUGGCGCAGCUGUGCUGGGGCCCUGUGUGGCUCUCCUUCCCCCGUGUGAUGCGCACGUUGUGCUUGGUAGGCCGUGCGCGUACACGUGGCUUGUACACAUCUCGCGCCCUCUCGCCGUCUGCGCGCAUCGCCACAGAACGCCGAAAACAGUCCGGCCGUAGGGCCGCAUGCCGUAAAAGGUAAGCGAUGAAGAGAGCCCGAAUCUUUCACCGCGCACUCUCACUUCAUCGCGCGACUUUUUGCCGCCACAGCUUCAGGUUUUUGUGCGCGUGUGUUGCUAGCCCACACCACAGGCGUAUCCACGCAGUGGCUGACGCGCAGGCGCGGGGGUGACGGAUCGUGGACCGGGUCCGGCGAGAGCGCGCGGUAGGGGGCGAAGAUUUUACGCAGGAAGGUCGCGGGGGCGAUCAUGGCGCGCACACACACGUGCAGCGGCGCGGUGUGACUGUGAAGGUCCGAAGGCACGGCAGCGGAGGAGGAGGCAACACACAAGCGCCUUGCCUUCGUUACUUUAUCCCCUCAGUGUGCGUCCCGGUGCUUCAGCUCUCCCCUCAUAUACCCCACCCGCCAAGUUGUCCUUGCCACGCCCACGGCGAGGCAGAGACCGACCGACCGGUGGGACAGACGGACCCUUAUCUCUCAUCCUUCAUCCCAACACCCCCUGCUGUAAGACCACCGCCAUCACCACCUCCUCUUCUGCCCCCCCCCCCCCUCCCCACUUCCAUCCGGUGGGGUCGGAGAGAAAACGUCCUGAAGUGGCGCGAAGCGAAGAGUUAGAACGGAACUGAAAACAGAACCCCAUCCCACCCCUCUCCCCUCUCCCACCCUCCCAUCAGUGUCCUUGCGCAGCUGUGUUCCUUGUUUCCUCUUGUUUUUCUUUGCUUUCUGUUUGGACUUACACCCUUAUAGCGUACGUGUGCUCGCGCCCACUUCUUUCAUCAUCAUCGGCCUCCUCCCUCCCUCCCUCCCUCCCUCCUUCGGCCUCUUCGUUUUCCGUUGACUCGCUUCUCUUUUUUUUUUUUUGGAUGUAUGGCGUGCCACCGCCCUCGUUCGCACACGAAGACGCGAUGCUGGUCGACUCAGCUGCACCCCGUACAACAAACACCCAUGACACACCUGCACACGAGUCCGCAUAUCGGUCUGCGUGGGUGUCGGCGUGCCGGUAUGUACGUGUCCGCGCAAGUAAACGCAUCCCCUCCUCUCUCUGUGUCUGUGCGUGCGUGCGUGUGUGCUCACCUCACCAUCUUUCCCAUGCGCGUUUCGCUCCUCUUUUUUUCCUUUCAUGAAUCCUCUGACGUGCGUGCGUGCGCGCUCGCUCGGUCAGGUAUUACGAACAUUAGUGGACUUCGCUUCUUUUCUAGUCUCGCUAUGGCUGCUGAGGGAGGGGUGGCAUGCACACGCUAGCGAGCUCUUUCCCACCCUUUCGUAGUCUCUCUUCUCUGGCGUCCCCGUCUGUUUCUGUUAUGUGUGUGUGUGUGCCGACUUGCUACUCUCUCUCUCUCUCUCCACCCCAAACAGCUACAUGCACCUCUUCCUCUUCUCGUUGUUGUUGUUGCACGUCUCCUUCCUCUACCUGUGUCGUCUGUCGAAGCCUCUGUCUCUCACCCUGCCCGCCUUGCUCACGCAGACAGACUCACGCCGAGGCAAGUCGUGAGCCGGUGUAUGAAGAGCAGCAGCAGCAGCAUCGGGGGCAGGGAGUGUAUAUAUAUAUGUGCGUGUGUGGAGACGGACCAUGAGAGUGGCCACGCGCGCAACAGCGACGCGACGGGAACGGUCAGCAUCACCGCGUGUACAACAAGAGCCACUCCCACACACACACACGUAUAUAUAUAUAUAAAGGAAGCAUGCGGAGACCGCAACAACGAGCAUUCGAAAAGGAGAAGAGAGCAGGUGGUGGUGGUGGUGGUGGUGUGUGUGUGUGGGGUGGAGUGGGUGCAACUGCGGCUGUCCUUCCACCGCACCGCAACCGCCUCUUCCCUGUCGGGGACAAUGAGCGAGCGAACAGGCGGGGCAGCACGAGACAGGCAGUCAGAGAGGGGCGGGGGCGGUACAAAAAAUAAAUAAGAAACGAGUCAGACAAAGAAAAAAGUGAAAAGGAGAGAAAAAACAAAAAAAACGGUAUAUCACACGCACACACACACACACACACAGCCCUACCCUCCUCCUCUCCUCCUCCGCCCUCCCCUCCUCCGUCAUCAUGAAAAACCAAAAAAAAAUCAUUACCGACCAGUCGACAUGGGACACACAUGCACGUGCGUGUAUGUGUCUGCAUGUAUAAAGAGGCCUGUGUCGACGACUUCUUUUGGAACUCAGGGGCUGGAGUGGGGGCGGGGGUGGGUGGGGAGGAGGGACAGUGAUUAGUGGGGCACGCCCGCUCUCACAGGAGGGCACCUGCGUAGAGUCAAAGAGAGCAGACAUGGGCACACACGCGUGCACGCGCACACACCCCGCCCCCCUCCCUCUCCGGUUCUCCCCCCAGGGUGAUGCAAAAACAGGCAGUCUCCUCGCGCAUCGAACUUCAGUGGCGGGAUGGCGUUAGAGUAAGCGAACACGAAACACAGCACUCGAAGAAGGACGAAAG
RNAcentral lists this unclassified non-coding RNA (3980 nucleotides) under Leishmania donovani. RNAcentral describes it as "gene:LdHU3.02.0550(CDS-product:voltage-dependent_ anion-selective_channel_putative)". Lineage: Eukaryota; Euglenozoa; Kinetoplastea; Trypanosomatida; Trypanosomatidae. The record is from RNAcentral.